UGGCUCAGGAUGAACGCUGGGCGGCGUGCUUUAACACAUGCAAGUCGAACGAAGCAAUUUGGAGUGCUUUGCACUUUGAUUGACUGAGUGGCGGACGGGUGAGUAACGCGUGGGUAACCUGCCUCACACAGGGGGAUAACAGUUGGAAACAGCUGCUUAAUACCGCAUUAAGCGCACGGUACCGCAUGGUACAGUGUAGAAAACUCCGGUGGUGUGAGAUGGACCCGCGUCUGAUUAGCUAGUUGGUAAGGUAACGGCUUACCAAGGCGACGAUCAGUAGCCGGACUGAGAGGUUGAACGGCCACAUUGGGACUGAGACACGGCCCAGACUCCUACGGGAGGCAGCAGGUGGGGGAUAUUGCACAAUGGGGGAAACCCUGAUGCAGCGACGCCGCGUGAGUGAAGAAGUAUUUCGGUAUGUAAAGCUCUAUCAGCAGGGAAGAAAAUGACGGUACCUGACUAAGAAGCCCCGGCUAACUACGUG
This 484-nucleotide ribosomal RNA is filed under the name uncultured bacterium. Its description in RNAcentral is "bacterial SSU rRNA". It matches the Rfam family "Bacterial small subunit ribosomal RNA", at positions 20 to 507 of the family's 1533-position model. The record is from RNAcentral.